Molecule: long non-coding RNA, 482 nt
Organism: Rhodamnia argentea
Lineage: Eukaryota; Viridiplantae; Streptophyta; Magnoliopsida; Myrtales; Myrtaceae
Exons: 3
Source: RefSeq, a predicted model, not a curated record
GGAAGUAAGGGCAUGAGGGAGGAGUCCGCCGGCAAGAACAAGCGGCCACGGUGGUGGAGCGGACCUGAUGAGUAAGACCACCCGGGCCGGGAGUCGGGUGCACGCUGGAGGUCGUCGAUGAUGCUCUUUGUAUGCUGGUCUAGCGGUAGCUCGGCACGAAGAGUGUCGAGGUCGGUAUUCACGGGACGGGACAAUGUUAAAAGUGCACAUUCUUGGUUGACAUCGUCGUAAACCCUUGACAAGGCAUCCGCCGCUGCAUUUUUCUUGCCCGGCUUGUAUUCGAUAGAGUAAUCAAAGCCGACCAAUUUCGAGAGGAACUAUUGCUGUUCUGGUGUUUGGAUGGUUUGCUGAAGAAGAUGGUGUAGCGGCCUAUGAUCUGUCCGUAUAAUGAAAUGAGCCCCGAGCAGAUAUUGACGCCACUUUUGGAUGGCCGAUCGUAUUGCGAACAACUCACGCACAUAAUAGCAAUAGAUUGAUGAAGU